UACGGGGGGAGCAAGCGUUGUUCGGAUUUACUGGGCGUAAAGGGCGCGUAGGCGGUCAGCACAAGUCAGUUGUGAAAUCUCCGAGCUUAACUCGGAACGGUCAACUGAUACUGUGCGACUAGAGUGCGGAAGGGGCAACUGGAAUUCUCGGUGUAACGGUGAAAUGCGUAGAUAUCGAGAGGAACACCUGCGGCGAAGGCGGGUUGCUGGGCCGACACUGACGCUGAUGCGCGAAAGCCAGGGGAGCGAACGGG
Molecule: ribosomal RNA, 254 nt
Filed under: uncultured bacterium
Lineage: Bacteria
Description: partial 16S ribosomal RNA
Rfam family: Bacterial small subunit ribosomal RNA
Source: RNAcentral